UACGAAGGGGGCUAGCGUUGCUCGGAAUCACUGGGCGUAAAGCGCGUGUAGGCGGCCUGCUAAGUCUGAUGUGAAAGCCCGAGGCUCACCCUCGGAAGCGCAUUGGAAACUGGCAGACUGGAGUCCCGGAGAGGAGGGUGGAAUUCCUGGUGUAGCGGUGAAAUGCGUAGAUAUCAGGAGGAACACCGGUGGCGAAGGCGGCCCUCUGGACGGUGACUGACGCUGAGACGCGAAAGCGUGGGGAGCAAACAGG
This 253-nucleotide ribosomal RNA is filed under the name uncultured bacterium. RNAcentral's name for it is "partial 16S ribosomal RNA". It matches the Rfam family "Bacterial small subunit ribosomal RNA", at positions 524 to 776 of the family's 1533-position model. The record is from RNAcentral.